Molecule: ribosomal RNA, 505 nt
Filed under: uncultured bacterium
Lineage: Bacteria
Description: partial 16S ribosomal RNA
Rfam family: Bacterial small subunit ribosomal RNA
Source: RNAcentral
GACGAACGCUGGCGGCGUGCCUAAUACAUGCAAGUAGAACGCACAGUUUAUACCGUAGCUUGCUACACCAUAGACUGUGAGUUGCGAACGGGUGAGUAACGCGUAGGUAACCUGCCUGGUAGCGGGGGAUAACUAUUGGAAACGAUAGCUAAUACCGCAUAAUAUUGAUUAUUGCAUGAAAAUUAAUUGAAAGGUGCAAUUGCACCACUACCAGAUGGACCUGCGUUGUAUUAGCUAGUAGGUGAGGUAACGGCUCACCUAGGCGACGAUACAUAGCCGACCUGAGAGGGUGAUCGGCCACACUGGGACUGAGACACGGCCCAGACUCCUACGGGAGGCAGCAGUAGGGAAUCUUCGGCAAUAGACGAAAGUCUGACCGAGCAACGCCGCGUGAGUGAAGAAGGUUUUCGGAUCGUAAAGCUCUGUUGUAAGAGAAGAACGGGUGUGAGAGUGGAAAGUUCACACUGUGACGGUAUCUUACCAGAAAGGGACGGCUAACUACGUG